Hypanus sabinus (Atlantic stingray) is the source of this 644-nucleotide long non-coding RNA. RefSeq lists it as uncharacterized. The transcript has 2 exons. Lineage: Eukaryota; Metazoa; Chordata; Chondrichthyes; Myliobatiformes; Dasyatidae. The record is from RefSeq and is a predicted model, not a curated record.
UCCUUUAAUUCUGGGAACAAACUGUGACUGACAUCUCCAGCUCCCAGUAGCAGCCCGUUCUCACACACAUACAGCCAAUCAGCGAUCACCGCUGGGAGAGGGAUACCCUCAUUGGCUGAGGGGUGUCAGUGGGCGGGACGCUGUUUGGACCGGGACCGAGUGGGCCGGAGACCGGGAGCUGCGCCUCGGGUUUCGGCUGCACCACCGGCGGGUCGUGAAUCCUUUCGAAGGCAGAGCUGAAGCGACCGGCGGAGAUUCCGUGAGAUGUUUCAGCUGCACGGAGGGCGCCCGGCCUUUCCCCGCCGAGGAUCGGGGCCUGUUGUCUGGAGUUGUCUCCCAGACCCGUCCCUUCCUGCUGGGAGACGGGAGCUGCCCCGCAGCGGCUGCCGGUGGAUCUCCGGAGCUCUCACCGCUCCCCUGUGCAAUCCGAACGGCUGAAAACCAAGGGAGAACAAGGCGCAAAGGGGCAAGACCAGAACAUGUGGGUCAAUAAAGCGACUUCAGAAUGACAUCUGUGACAGGCUGGAUUAACAUAAGAAUAAAAUCGAGCGAGUUUAUCCUUGGACAUGUGAGCCCUAUGAACAACCUGAAAUUGUAUUAGGCAUGUUUAGCACAAAUAAAAGAAGAAUUGAUUAAUUGUAAAA